This 253-nucleotide ribosomal RNA is filed under the name uncultured bacterium. RNAcentral describes it as "partial 16S ribosomal RNA". It matches the Rfam family "Bacterial small subunit ribosomal RNA", at positions 524 to 776 of the family's 1533-position model. The record is from RNAcentral.
UCCGUAGGUGGCAAUCGUUGUCCGGAUUUAUUGGGUUUAAAGGGUGCGUAGGCGGUGAUUUAAGUCAGUGGUGAAAUACGGCAGCUUAACUGUCGAGGUGCCAUUGAUACUGGGUCACUUGAGUACUGAUGAGGUAGGCGGAAUGGACGGUGUAGCGGUGAAAUGCUUAGAGAUCGUCCAGAACACCGAUAGCGAAGGCAGCUUACUAAGGAGUAACUGACGCUGAGGCACGAAAGUGUGGGGAUCAAACAGG